Molecule: ribosomal RNA, 492 nt
Filed under: uncultured bacterium
Lineage: Bacteria
Description: partial 16S ribosomal RNA
Rfam family: Bacterial small subunit ribosomal RNA
Source: RNAcentral
AGUGAACGCUGGCGGUAGGCCUAACACAUGCAAGUCGAACGGCAGCACAGUAAGAGCUUGCUCUUACGGGUGGCGAGUGGCGGACGGGUGAGGAAUACAUCGGCAUCUACUUUUUCGUGGGGGAUAACGUAGGGAAACUUACGCUAAUACCGCAUACGACCUACGGGUGAAAGCAGGGGAUCUUCGCACCUUGCGCGAUUGACUGAGCCGAUGUCGGAUUAGCUAGUUGGCGGGGUAAAGGCCCACCAAGCCGACGAUCCGUAGCUGGUCUGAGAGGAUGAUCAGCCACACUGGAACUGAGACACGGUCCAGACUCCUACGGGAGGCAGCAGUAGGGAAUAUUGGACAAUGGGCGCAAGCCUGAUCCAGCCAUACCGCGUGAGUGAAGAAGGCCUUCGGGUUGUAAAGCCCUUUUGUUAGGAAAGAAAAGCAGCAGGUUAAUACCCCGCUGUUCUGACGGUACCCAAAGAAUAAGCACCGGCUAACUUCGUG